RNAcentral lists this ribosomal RNA (402 nucleotides) under uncultured bacterium. RNAcentral describes it as "bacterial SSU rRNA". It matches the Rfam family "Bacterial small subunit ribosomal RNA", at positions 355 to 774 of the family's 1533-position model. The record is from RNAcentral.
UAGGGAAUAUUAGAAAUGGCCGAAAGUCUGAUCUAGCAACACCGCGUGUGCGAAGAAGGCCUUCGGGUUGUAGAGCACUUUUUGGAAGGAUUAGGAAGGAAUGUACUUCCAGAAUAAGUCUCGGCUAACUACGUGCCAGCAGCCGCGGUAACACGUAGGAGGCAAACGUUAUCCGGAUUUACUGGGCGUAAAGCGCGUGUAGGUGGUUCUGUAAGUAGGGCGUGAAAGCUCCUGGCUCAACUGGGAGAGGCCGUUCUAAACUGCAGAGCUAGAGGAUGGUAGAGGGAGGUGGAAUUCCGGGCGUAGCGGUGGAAUGCGCAGAUAUCCGGAGGAACACCAGUGGCGAAAGCGGCCUCCUGGACCAUUCCUGACACUCAGACGCGAAAGCUAGGGUAGCAAACG